This 287-nucleotide long non-coding RNA is filed under the name Lathyrus oleraceus (garden pea). RNAcentral describes it as "Pisum sativum (pea) long non-coding RNA (PSAT_LNC021685)". Lineage: Eukaryota; Viridiplantae; Streptophyta; Magnoliopsida; Fabales; Fabaceae. The record is from RNAcentral.
GCUUUUUCCACAUUUUUCCUUUGCCGUUUUCACUUUUUGCAUAUUUUUUUUUCCAGCAGCUUAGGCAUUGUUUUUCCUGCGAGUUCUACACUAUUUUCCUUGCAAUUUCCUAUUUCUUUUUCAGCAUUUAGUUAGUUCUAUUCACACAAUAGUUUCUACAAAGGAAACUAUUGUGUACCUUUUUACCGGAUCCAACCUUAUGUUAGGAUCUAGUUUAUUUUCUUCGCUUUAAUUUGUUGUUUAUUUGACGAAUCCAAGGACAAAUCCUGCCGGCUUGUGGCGGAGUG